UGGGGAAUAUUGGACAAUGGGCGAAAGCCUGAUCCAGCCAUGCCGCGUGUGUGAAGAAGGCCUUUUGGUUGUAAAGCACUUUAAGUGGGGAGGAAAAGCUUAUGGUUAAUACCCAUAAGCCCUGACGUUACCCACAGAAUAAGCACCGGCUAACUCUGUGCCAGCAGCCGCGGUAAUACAGAGGGUGCAAGCGUUAAUCGGAAUUACUGGGCGUAAAGCGCGCGUAGGUGGUUAUUUAAGUCAGAUGUGAAAGCCCCGGGCUUAACCUGGGAACUGCAUCUGAUACUGGAUAACUAGAGUAGGUGAGAGGGGAGUAGAAUUCCAGGUGUAGCGGUGAAAUGCGUAGAGAUCUGGAGGAAUACCGAUGGCGAAGGCAGCUCCCUGGCAUCAUACUGACACUGAGGUGCGAAAGCGUGGGUAGCAAACAGGAUUAGAUACCCUGGUAGUCCACGCCGUAAACGAUGUCUACCAGUCGUUGGGUCUUUUAAAGACUUAGUGACGCAGUUAACGCAAUAAAGUAGACCGCCUGGGGAGUACGGCCGCAAGGUUA
RNAcentral lists this ribosomal RNA (550 nucleotides) under uncultured bacterium. RNAcentral describes it as "bacterial SSU rRNA". It matches the Rfam family "Bacterial small subunit ribosomal RNA", at positions 355 to 896 of the family's 1533-position model. The record is from RNAcentral.